RNAcentral lists this ribosomal RNA (263 nucleotides) under Bacillus sp. (in: firmicutes). RNAcentral's name for it is "Bacillus sp. (in: Bacteria) partial 16S ribosomal RNA". It matches the Rfam family "Bacterial small subunit ribosomal RNA", at positions 383 to 655 of the family's 1533-position model. Lineage: Bacteria; Bacillati; Bacillota; Bacilli; Caryophanales; Bacillaceae. The record is from RNAcentral.
CUGACGGAGCAACGCCGCGUGAGUGAUGAAGGUUUUCGGAUCGUAAAACUCUGUUGUUAGGGAAGAACAAGUACCGGAGUAACUGCCGGUACCUUGACGGUACCUAACCAGAAAGCCACGGCUAACUACGUGCCAGCAGCCGCGGUAUACGUAGGUGCAGCGUGUCCGGAAUAUUGGGCGUAAGCGCGCGCAGGCGGUCCUUAAUCUGAGUGAAGCCCCGGCUCACCGUGGAGGUCUUGGAACUGGGAAUUGAUGCAAAAAGA